UACGAAGGGGGCUAGCGUUGCCCGGAAUCACUGGGCGUAAAGGGUGCGUAGGCGGGGCUUUAAGUCAGGGGUGAAAUCCUGGAGCUCAACUCCAGAACUGCCUUUGAUACUGAAGAUCUUGAGUUCGGGAGAGGUGAGUGGAACUGCGAGUGUAGAGGUGAAAUUCGUAGAUAUUCGCAAGAACACCAGUGGCGAAGGCGGCUCACUGGCCCGUUACCGACGCUCAGGCGCGACAGCGUGGGGAGCAAACAGG
Molecule: ribosomal RNA, 253 nt
Filed under: uncultured bacterium
Lineage: Bacteria
Description: partial 16S ribosomal RNA
Rfam family: Bacterial small subunit ribosomal RNA
Source: RNAcentral